Molecule: ribosomal RNA, 253 nt
Filed under: uncultured bacterium
Lineage: Bacteria
Description: partial 16S ribosomal RNA
Rfam family: Bacterial small subunit ribosomal RNA
Source: RNAcentral
UACAGAGGGUGCGAGCGUUAAUCGGAAUUACUGGGCGUAAAGCGUGCGUAGACGGUCAAGUAAGUCGGGUGUGAAAGCCCCGGGCUCAACCUGGGAAUUGCAUUCGAGACUGCGUGGCUAGGGUGCGGAAGAGGGAAGCGGAAUUUCCGGUGUAGCGGUGAAAUGCGUAGAUAUCGGAAGGAACACGAGUGGCGAAAGCGGCUUCCUGGUCCAGCACCGACGUUCAGGCACGAAAGCGUGGGGAGCAAACAGG